CGAACGAACCAUAACAAAGUCUCUCUUGAAAUCCAGCAAAGCAACAACUUUAUUGUUUUUGUUACUUUGCUCCAGCGAUCUGAGCUCCAAACGUUAACCUUUGCUAUUUUAUUUAAAUUCACUCUAUUUCUUCUUUUCUUUGGGGCUAGAUUUGGAUUUCAAAAGAAAAUCCCAUGAAUUUUCACUUUGACAUCCGUCCCACAUCGUUAGUUUUACUCAAACCUAGGGUUUUAGGGUUCUAUAAAUAGAACCCCAUUUUCUUCAUUCACAAUAGGCUUUUGACAACAAAAUAAUAGGAUCUCACACCUAAAUAGGUUUUUCACAACCACAAAAAGUUUUCAACAUCGCAAGUUCUGAUCUUUUCAAUUUACUUGACUUUAAACAAGAAAUUUCUCUUAUAAGCCGAGUUCUUGAAUUAUCGGAAUCAGUUAAAUAUUUUUUCGACUCGUUCUGAGUUAGUUGUUGAGUCGGUGAAGUCGCAGAAAGGUGAUCCUCGACGCUUGUCGCCCCCGUCGCUGCAUCAACAAAAGAGUAUUAGACAGGUUCACACUUUCCCCUCGCGGCUGAUCGGCGAGGCGCAGUCAUUCCGGGGGUGAGCACGAUGACGGCCGCUGCCCGGAUGUUCUUUUCCUUACUUACUUGUCUUACUCUUAUUUCGAGACAAUUGUAUAUUGAGACUUUUUCAUCUUCAGACUUGUAGUAUUUAGUUAGUGCUCUUGUGUGACCAGAUCAUAUACUGGGGUGGUUUAUGAUUACUUCCGCAUUUAUUAUAUAUUCAAA
Molecule: long non-coding RNA, 780 nt
Organism: Lycium ferocissimum
Lineage: Eukaryota; Viridiplantae; Streptophyta; Magnoliopsida; Solanales; Solanaceae
Exons: 2
Source: RefSeq, a predicted model, not a curated record